This 1334-nucleotide ribosomal RNA is filed under the name unidentified. Its description in RNAcentral is "Asiokeroplatus tiger partial 28S ribosomal RNA". It matches the Rfam family "Eukaryotic large subunit ribosomal RNA", at positions 402 to 1529 of the family's 3401-position model. The record is from RNAcentral.
AAACCGCUUAGGGGUUAAACCCGAUGAACCCGAAUAUCUGAAUUGAGAAAUUCAAUAUUAUGUUGUUUACUCAUUUGAAUAAUAUUUAACAACUGGUAUGCACUUUUCUCAUUGUAAGACAUUGCGAUCCAUUAGCAUUUGCUUAGGCAGUAAAUUUAUUAAACGGCCCGUAUGUACAGAUUGUUCUAGCUGUGGCAGUUUUUAAUUGCCAUAUGAGCAAAUGCAUUGCGGUUACCUAAUAAAUAGCUGAUGGGUAUUUAAAAUCAUGCAAACAUACAUGUAUGUAUCACGGUUUAGAUAUUUUAUUUAAGUGCAGUGAUAGCAUGUAUUUGAUUAGCAAUGCGAUAGAUUUGGGAUACCUUCGGGACCCGUCUUGAAACACGGACCAAGAAGUCUAACAUGUGUGCAAGUCAUUGGGUAUUAUAUUGAAACCUAAAGGCGUAAUUAAAAUAACUAUAAUGGGAUUACAGGUGAUCAAAAAAUUGCCUCUCCAUCCCGGGGCGUUCUAAACGAACAUGAUGUAAGAAAUUAGAUCCUCUGUUCAAGAGCGUACCUUGAGCAUACAUGCUGUGACCCGAAAGAUGGUGAACUAUACCUGAUCAGGUUGAAGUCAGGGGAAACCCUGAUGGAGGACUGAAGCAGUUCUGACGUGCAAAUCGAUUGUCAGAAUUGGGUAUAGGGGCGAAAGACCAAUCGAACCAUCUAGUAGCUGGUUCCCUCCGAAGUUUCCCACAGGAUAGCUGGCGCAUUAAGAAAUUAAAUAUAUAGUCUUAUCUGGUAAAGCGAAUGAUUAGAGGCCUUGGGGCCGAAACGACCUCAACCUAUUCUCAAACUUUAAAUGGGUAAGUACCUCAUCUUUCUUGAAUUGAAGAUGCAGGAGUAUAGAUAUAUUGUGCCCAGUGGGCCACUUUUGGUAAGCAGAACUGGCGCUGUGGGAUGAACCAAACGUGAUGUUACGGCGCCCAAAUUAAUGACUCAUAUUGAUACCAUGAAAGGCGUUAGUUGCUUAAAACAGUAGGACGGUGGACAUGGAAGUCGUAAUCCGCUAAGGAGUGUGUAACAACUCACCUGCCGAAGCAACUAGCCCUUAAAAUGGAUGGCGCUCAAGUCAUAUGCCUAUACAUCACCGCUAGAAUAAGAAAAUUUUUAAUAAUUAUUAAUAAAAAUUUAUGAAAUUCUAGUGAGUAGGAGGGUACAAUGGUGUGCGCAGAAGUGUUUGGCGUGAGCCUGCAUGGAGCCGCCAUUGGCACAGAUCUUGGUGGUAGUAGCAAAUAAUCGAAUGAGAUCUUGGAGGACUGAAGUGGAGAAGGGUUUCGUGUGAACAGUGGUUGAUC